RNAcentral lists this long non-coding RNA (601 nucleotides) under Elaeis guineensis (African oil palm). RNAcentral describes it as "long non-coding RNA (EGUI_LNC007577)". The record is from RNAcentral. Lineage: Eukaryota; Viridiplantae; Streptophyta; Magnoliopsida; Arecales; Arecaceae.
UCCCUCGUGCCAGCCUUUGCCCAAUGUUUUCCAUUCAAUAAAAAGCCUUGGCUCCUUUAGCUACCUCAUCAAGAUCUCCUUUGUGCAAGACCUGGCCAAGACUUUAGAGAUCUAAGGCUCACCAGAUUGUCAAAUUAGCCACCUCCAAGAAGAAGAAACUCACUUUUUUUGUCACAGUUGCUUUGAUAAAAAUUGAAUUUGUAACAAAUCUAUUCUGUUGUUCUACUUCCUUGCUCUGCUUCUUGAAAGCCUAAGUUUAUAGCAACAUCUCUUUUAUCUUCUUCUUUGUAUGCCUUUGUUUGAUCUCAUUCAACAAAAAUCGGCUGGUUUUUACCUUCCUUUUUUCCAAAAAAGAGAUGAUGAAGCAAACUGAUCAAAUUUCUGCUUGGUACAUUAUUUUAUGUUAUUAAUAGUUUGAUUUACAUAUGCAACGUUAGGAACAUUAAAGACAAGUUGUGAAAAUAAAUGUUGGUACAAGCAUAAUGCCGGCAAAAGUUAUGCUACCAAGGCAUUAAUCAAAUUGAAAUCCCUUCAAGGAAAACUUGUGGGGAUUGUUGAGGACCUUUCCAAAGUUUUCUCACAUAGCUCUAGAUAACUGAUG